GGUUCUCGUGGUUAAUUGGUAGUAAUGAUGGUUUUCCCAUAGGGAACUUUUCCUGAAUUCUGACAUACCAGUUGUCUUUCUAAGUAAAGCAAACAAAUACCUAAUUUUCUAGUCUUAGAUUUUCCAUACCGUAUGCUUUCUGUGGGUUGCAUUACAAUAUCUCAGUUCUCAUUUAUUGCAAGCCUUUCCUUAUAGAGUGUAGUUUUUAUUUUUGGUUAUUCCAUAAUAUCAAGUUUUACUAGUUUUACAUUGCAAUUCUUGACAAAAUAAUAAUUUAAGCUGUUUAUCAGAG
RNAcentral lists this unclassified non-coding RNA (292 nucleotides) under Hevea brasiliensis (rubber tree). The record is from RNAcentral. Lineage: Eukaryota; Viridiplantae; Streptophyta; Magnoliopsida; Malpighiales; Euphorbiaceae.